CCUACGGGUGGCAGCAGUGAGGAAUAUUGGUCAAUGGACGAGAGUCUGAACCAGCCAAGUAGCGUGAAGGAUGACUGCCCUAUGGGUUGUAAACUUCUUUUAUAUGGGAAUAAAACGUUCCACGUGUGGGAUUUUGUAUGUACCAUAUGAAUAAGGAUCGGCUAACUCCGUGCCAGCAGCCGCGGUAAUACGGAGGAUCCGAUCGUUAUCCGGAUUUAUUGGGUUUAAAGGGAGCGUAGGUGGAUUGUUAAGUCAGUUGUGAAAGUUUGCGGCUCAACCGUAAAAUUGCAGUUGAAACUGGCAGUCUUGCGUACAGUAGAGGUGGGCGGAAUUCGUGGUGUAGCGGUGAAAUGCUUAGAUAUCACGAAGAACUCCGAUUGCGAAGGCAGUUCACUGGACUGCAACUGACACUGAGGCUCGAAAGUGUGGGUAUCAAACAGGAUUAGAUACCCUUGUAGUC
Molecule: ribosomal RNA, 460 nt
Filed under: uncultured bacterium
Lineage: Bacteria
Description: partial 16S ribosomal RNA
Rfam family: Bacterial small subunit ribosomal RNA
Source: RNAcentral